CAAAAAGAAGAAGGAAUCUAAGUUUCCGAGAGCGACGUUGUCUGAAAAAGAGGGAGGCGGGAGGCGGGGGCGAGGGGAGGCGGAGGCAGCAAAUGACCGCGACCCCGCGGCAACUGGCAAACUCCUCGGCUCCCGGCGCCGCCGCCACCGCCGUGGUCCCCACUCGAAGCGCACGCCGCCUCGGCUCGCUGGCUCCAGGGAGUCGUCUCGGCGGGACAGGAAUAGAGCGCAGGGAGCUCGGGAGGAAGGCUGCGCGCAAGCGAGGGACGGAGAGCCAUCGGCCGCCAGGACAGGGCCGGAGGGACGAGGCGACACGCGCGCGACGCAGGACAAAUCGGAGCUUGGGAAAUCUCCCCGUCCCCCAAGCUUCAGAGGGGGGUAAAAUCAGAAAAUGUGUGUGAUGGUGGGAGAGAGAUCCGGGCGCGGCGACUCCUCGCAGCGCAUCCGGCUCCCGCACCCACCCGUGGAUCUGGCCACGGCUGUUGCGGACUCGUCUCGGGAAAGCGGAGGCCGAGCGCGCGUAGGGGUGCGUGUCUGGCUGGGGGUGCGCAGUGGCGGAAACAAGACAGGAGGCGGCUUGGGAAAAAGUGGAGCAGAAAUGGAAAAAUACAAACUCACCCGCUGCAAAUGGUCUCUCGGUGCAAACUAAGGUGUUUUCGGGCCUUUCCCCGCGCGCGCCCACUCCCGCCCGCGCGCGCACCCCGCGCACACACUCACUCGCGCACACACGCGCGCACACACGCACUCCCGGGCGAGGGCCGGGCCGCCGCGAGUACAGCGUGCAACCGCCACACAAUAAAUAACAAUAGAUUCCUCCGCUCCGGACUAGCUUCCCGGAGCCCAGCCAGCGCCAGUGGCGGCGGCGGCGGCGGCGGCAGAGGCGCGGGCAGCACCGGCCCGGGGGCGCACCCCGGCCCGACUCUCUAUCUCCCGCAGGGGUCCCCUCUCCGCUUCACGCACCCCGUUGGGCACUCCAGCGGCCCUCCGAGCGGGAGCGGCUCCCUCUUUGCCGUUCGCCGGGGCGCUGGCGCCCACCCCCCUCCUCCCUCCCCA
Molecule: long non-coding RNA, 1053 nt
Filed under: Pan troglodytes (chimpanzee)
Lineage: Eukaryota; Metazoa; Chordata; Mammalia; Primates; Hominidae
Description: long non-coding RNA NONPTRT011454
Source: RNAcentral